This 485-nucleotide ribosomal RNA is filed under the name Taphaeus sp. 1 BJS-2011. RNAcentral describes it as "eukaryotic LSU rRNA". It matches the Rfam family "Eukaryotic large subunit ribosomal RNA", at positions 707 to 1129 of the family's 3401-position model. Lineage: Eukaryota; Metazoa; Arthropoda; Insecta; Hymenoptera; Braconidae. The record is from RNAcentral.
CCUAAAGGCGUAAUGAAAGUAAAGGUUGUCCUUGCGACAAUUGAGGGAGGAUGAGUUAUAUUACGAUGUAUCUCCGCACUCCCGGGGUGUCUCAGUCUUAUUACAAGARGAGGCGCACCCAGAGCGUACACGUUGGGACCCGAAAGAUGGUGAACUAUGCCUGGUCAGGAUGAAGUCAGGGGAAACCCUGAUGGAGGUCCGUAGCGGUUCUGACGUGCAAAUCGAUCGUAUGAACUGGGUAUAGGGGCGAAAGACUAAUCGAACCAUCUAGUAGCUGGUUCCCUCCGAAGUUUCCCUCAGGAUAGCUGGCACUCAUAAGUUCUUAUGAACUUAGACGAGUCUCAUCUGGUAAAGCGAAUGAUUAGAGGCCUUGGGGCCGAAACGACCUCAACCUAUUCUCAAACUUUAAAUGGGUGAGAUCUCUGGCUUGCUUGAAUAUAUAUUUAUAAUGAAGCCAUGAGAUUUCGGAUCAGAGUGCCAAGUGG